GCAUAGAUUACACAGUCUACAGAGUACAGACGAGCCACCACAACAAUCAGUGGAGUAGAGUGGUGGAGCGGCGAAUGUGCGGGAGGGGACGUCAACCUCAGAGAGAGAGAGAGAGAGAGACCCACGCGUAGCACCAGCAGUAGUAGUGGCGAGCCACAUCUCCCCUCUUUCCUCUUUCCCAUCCCAUCCUCCGAGCCAGCCUCUUUCUUAUCCCCCAACCCAAACCAGAGCCAACCCAGCCGGCCAGCGAGUUGUCGAUCCAUCGAUCAUCCAUCGCCGCUGCGAGGCUAGCCAGCCAGCGGCGUGGUUAGGUUUUGACCGGCCGGCUUUGAUGGCGUCCAUCGUGGUGAUCGGCCUGGUGCUCCUCCUCGACGUCCUCGCCUUCGUCCUCGCCAUCGGCGCCGAGCGCCGCCGGAGCACGGCGUACGUGAGCGUGGACGGGGCCGGGAGGCAGUUCUGCGUGUACGGCACGGACGCGUCGACCUGGUACGGCGUCGGCGCGCUCGCCCUGCUGCUGGUCGGGCAGGCCGUGGCCAUGGUCGCCAGCCGCUGCUUCUGCUGCGGCCGCUCGCUCUCGCCCGGCCGCUGGCGCUUCUUCUCCGGCCUCUUCUUCAUCCUCUGCUGGCUGACGUUCGUGAUCGCGGAGGUGUGCCUGCUGGCGGGCUCGGUGCGGAACGCAUACCACACCAAGUACGUGAGCGGCUACUACGCCGACGCGCCGCUCCCCUGCGCCAUGCUGCGCAGGGGCGUCUUCGCCGCCGGCGCCGCCUUCGCCUUCCUCACCACGCUCUUCGUCAUGCUCCACUACGUCUUCUACUCCAAGGCCCGCGCCGCGCCGCCGCCCAUCAUCAACGGCGGCGGCAUCGGCAUGACCCGCAUCUGAUCUCGCCGCAUCGCCGGCGAGACUGGCCUGCGGCGUGUGCGUGUGCGUGUGGCUCCGAGUGUCGUGUUGGGCUGUCAAUGGAUUUGUGUCUUGUGUUGUGCUGUGAUGUGCGUGUGUAAAUCCCGUGUGUGGUUCUGUCGGAGUGAGCAGCUGAAGGUAGAUCAGGAAGGGACUAAUCAUUCGUGUGGGUCGUAGUUUGUAGCUUGGACUCCAUGAUCUCCAUCUUCCCUUGCGAUUUUCGGGUUUAUGUGAUGCACCAUCUUGCGUUU
Molecule: RNA transcript, 1152 nt
Organism: Hordeum vulgare subsp. vulgare (domesticated barley)
Lineage: Eukaryota; Viridiplantae; Streptophyta; Magnoliopsida; Poales; Poaceae
Exons: 3
Source: RefSeq, a predicted model, not a curated record